GGGUUGUGAGGUUAAGCGACUAAGCGUACACGGUGGAUGCCCUGGCAGUCAGAGGCGAUGAAGGACGUGCUAAUCUGCGAUAAGCGUCGGUAAGGUGAUAUGAACCGUUAUAACCGGCGAUUUCCGAAUGGGGAAACCCAGUGUGAUUCGUCACACUAUCAUUAACUGAAUCCAUAGGUUAAUGAGGCGAACCGGGGGAACUGAAACAUCUAAGUACCCCGAGGAAAAGAAAUCAACCGAGAUUCCCCCAGUAGCGGCGAGCGGACGGGGAGCAGCCCAGAGCCUGAAUCAGUGUGUGUGUUAGUGGAAGCGUCUGGAAAGGCGUGCGAUACAGGGUGACAGCCCCGUACACAAAAAUGCACAUAUUGUGAGCUUGAUGAGUAGGGCGGGACACGUGGUAUCCUGUCUGAAUAUGGGGGGACCAUCCUCCAAGGCUAAAUACUCCUGACUGACCGAUAGUGAACCAGUACCGUGAGGGAAAGGCGAAAAGAACCCCGGCGAGGGGAGUGAAAAAGAACCUGAAACCGUGUACGUACAAGCAGUGGGAGCACGCUUAGGCGUGUGACUGCGUACCUUUUGUAUAAUGGGUCAGCGACUUAUAUUCUGUAGCAAGGUUAACCGAAUAGGGGAGCCGAAGGGAAACCGAGUCUUAACUGGGCGUUAAGUUGCAGGGUAUAGACCCGAAACCCGGUGAUCUAGCCAUGGGCAGGUUGAAGGUUGGGUAACACUAACUGGAGGACCGAACCGACUAAUGUUGAAAAAUUAGCGGAUGACUUGUGGCUGGGGGUGAAAGGCCAAUCAAACCGGGAGAUAGCUGGUUCUCCCCGAAAGCUAUUUAGGUAGCGCCUCGUGAAUUCAUCUCCGGGGGUAGAGCACUGUUUCGGCA
RNAcentral lists this ribosomal RNA (886 nucleotides) under Escherichia coli. RNAcentral's name for it is "partial 23S ribosomal RNA". It matches the Rfam family "Bacterial large subunit ribosomal RNA", at positions 1 to 920 of the family's 2925-position model. The record is from RNAcentral. RNAcentral also lists the same sequence under 1 other name. Lineage: Bacteria; Pseudomonadati; Pseudomonadota; Gammaproteobacteria; Enterobacterales; Enterobacteriaceae.